GGCGGCAUAGCCAAGUGGUAAGGCAGAGGUCUGCAAAACCUCCAUCUCCGGUUCAAAUCCGGAUGCCGCCUCCA
RNAcentral lists this transfer RNA (74 nucleotides) under uncultured delta proteobacterium. Its description in RNAcentral is "tRNA-Cys". It matches the Rfam family "tRNA". Rfam says of the family: Transfer RNA (tRNA) molecules are approximately 80 nucleotides in length. Their secondary structure includes four short double-helical elements and three loops (D, anti-codon, and T loops). The record is from RNAcentral. Lineage: Bacteria; Deltaproteobacteria.